ACAGAUGGGAGCUUGCUCCCUGAUGUUAGCGGCGGACGGGUGAGUAACACGUGGGUAACCUGCCUGUAAGACUGGGAUAACUCCGGGAAACCGGGGCUAAUACCGGAUGGUUGUUUGAACCGCAUGGUUCAGACAUAAAAGGUGGCUUCGGCUACCACUUACAGAUGGACCCGCGGCGCAUUAGCUAGUUGGUGAGGUAACGGCUCACCAAGGCGACGAUGCGUAGCCGACCUGAGAGGGUGAUCGGCCACACUGGGACUGAGACACGGCCCAGACUCCUACGGGAGGCAGCAGUAGGGAAUCUUCCGCAAUGGACGAAAGUCUGACGGAGCAACGCCGCGUGAGUGAUGAAGGUUUUCGGAUCGUAAAGCUCUGUUGUUAGGGAAGAACAAGUGCCGUUCAAAUAGGGCGGCACCUUGACGGUACCUAACCAGAAAGCCACGGCUAACUACGUGCCAGCAGCCGCGGUAAUACGUAGGUGGCAAGCGUUGUCCGGAAUUAUUGGGCGUAAAGGGCUCGCAGGCGGUUUCUUAAGUCUGAUGUGAAAGCCCCCGGCUCAACCGGGGAGGG
Molecule: ribosomal RNA, 570 nt
Filed under: Bacillus sp. G8O49(B)
Lineage: Bacteria; Bacillati; Bacillota; Bacilli; Caryophanales; Bacillaceae
Description: bacterial SSU rRNA
Rfam family: Bacterial small subunit ribosomal RNA
Source: RNAcentral